RNAcentral lists this ribosomal RNA (643 nucleotides) under uncultured bacterium. Its description in RNAcentral is "bacterial SSU rRNA". It matches the Rfam family "Bacterial small subunit ribosomal RNA", at positions 202 to 842 of the family's 1533-position model. The record is from RNAcentral.
CAAAGGAGUGAUCCGGUGGCGGAUGGGCAUGCGGCGCAUUAGCUAGACGGCGGGGUGACGGCCCACCGUGGCGACGAUGCGUAGGGGUUCUGAGAGGAAGGCCCCCCACACUGGGACUGAGACACGGCCCAGACUCCUACGGGAGGCAGCAGUGAGGAAUAUUGGUCAAUGGGCGGAAGCCUGAACCAGCCAAGUCGCGUGAGGGAUUAAGGCCCUGCGGGUCGUAAACCUCUUUUGCCGGGGAGCAGUGGUCCGGACGCGUCCGGGCCGGGAGAGUACCCGGAGAAAAAGCAUCGGCUAACUCCGUGCCAGCAGCCGCGGUAAUACGGAGGAUGCGAGCGUUAUCCGGAUUUAUUGGGUUUAAAGGGUGCGUAGGCGGGCAUUUAAGCCGGCGGUCAAAUGUCGGGGCUCAACCCCGGCCUGCCGUCGGAACUGGGUGCCUUGAGUGGGCGAGAAGUAUGCGGAAUGCGUGGUGUAGCGGUGAAAUGCAUAGAUAUCACGCAGAACCCCGAUUGCGAAGGCAGCAUACCGGCGCCCUACUGACGCUGAGGCACGAAAGUGCGGGUAUCGAACAGGAUUAGAUACCCUGGUAGUCCGCACAGUAAACGAUGGAUGCUAUCUGUCCGGGCCGAAUGAGGCCUGG